This 466-nucleotide ribosomal RNA is filed under the name uncultured bacterium. Its description in RNAcentral is "partial 16S ribosomal RNA". It matches the Rfam family "Bacterial small subunit ribosomal RNA", at positions 28 to 506 of the family's 1533-position model. The record is from RNAcentral.
GACGAACGCUGGCGGCGUGCUUAACACAUGCAAGUCGAACGGAAAGGCCCUGCUUUUGUGGGGUGCUCGAGUGGCGAACGGGUGAGUAACACGUGAGUAACCUGCCCUUGACUUUGGGAUAACUUCAGGAAACUGGGGCUAAUACCGGAUAGGAGCUCCUGCUGCAUGGUGGGGGUUGGAAAGUUUCGGCGGUUGGGAUGGACUCGCGGCUUAUCAGCUUGUUGGUGGGGUAGUGGCUUACCAAGGCUUUGACGGGUAGCCGGCCUGAGGGGGUGACCGGCCACAUUGGGACUGAGAUACGGCCAAGGCCCCUACGGGGGGGAGGAGGGGGGAAUAUUGCACAAUGGGCGGAAGCCUGCUGCAGCACCCCCGGGUGCGGGAUGACGGCCUUCGGGUGGAAAACCGCUUUCCCCUGGGACGAAGCGUGAGUGGCGGUAAUGGGGAAAGAAGCACCGGUCAACUACGU